GAAAUGCGAUAAGUAAUGUGAAUUGCAGAAUUCAGUGAAUCAUCGAAUCUUUGAACGCACCUUGCGCCUCUUGGUAUUCCGAGAGGUAUGCCUGUUUGAGUGUCAUGAAACCUCACCCCCUCUGGGUUUUUGACCUGGUCGGCGGUGGAUUGGGCGCCUGCCGUCACUGGCUCGCCUGAAAAGCAUAAGCACCUUGGAUGUAAUACGUUUCAUCCUCUCGGGUGGCUGACAACCCCACAUACUUCAUGAUCUGGCCUCAAAUCAGGUAGGGCUACCCGCUGAACUUAAGC
Molecule: unclassified non-coding RNA, 290 nt
Filed under: plant metagenome
Description: partial contains 5.8S ribosomal RNA, internal transcribed spacer 2, and large subunit ribosomal RNA
Rfam family: 5.8S ribosomal RNA (bases 1-105)
Source: RNAcentral